This 101-nucleotide ribosomal RNA is filed under the name Sorex araneus (European shrew). The record is from RNAcentral. Lineage: Eukaryota; Metazoa; Chordata; Mammalia; Eulipotyphla; Soricidae.
UGGGCCUGAAUGUGCCCAACCUCAUCUGGUCUUGGAAGCUAAGCAGGGUCGGGCCUGGUUAGUAUUUGGAUGGGAAGUUGAGGUCUGGAUGAAGUCUAGGU